RNAcentral lists this long non-coding RNA (312 nucleotides) under Brassica napus (rape). RNAcentral describes it as "long non-coding RNA (BNAP_LNC002627)". The record is from RNAcentral. Lineage: Eukaryota; Viridiplantae; Streptophyta; Magnoliopsida; Brassicales; Brassicaceae.
AAGAAUUUUAUACAUAAUAAAAAACAAUCAAUAAUUGUCAAGUAAGUUUAGGUCCUUUUGUUUAGGGUGCAUUUUUCUUUAAUGUUUGUUUAUUAGCUCUCCCUUAAUCUUGAUCCACUUUUUUUUUUAUCAAAAUCUUGAUCGACAUUUGUUUUUUUUGGCAUGGAUAACUAAUCGAUGAUCUAUAUAAUUUCUUACUUUCAAAGCAGGGUGACCGAAAAUUGCCUAAGGGUAUCUUCAAUCUCACUCUAUUUUUCACUGUAAAAUAGAGUUUAGAGUAAAAAUACUCCAAUGGUACUCUAUUUUCUAUUC